RNAcentral lists this long non-coding RNA (1687 nucleotides) under Triticum aestivum (bread wheat). Its description in RNAcentral is "long non-coding RNA (TAES_LNC015274)". Lineage: Eukaryota; Viridiplantae; Streptophyta; Magnoliopsida; Poales; Poaceae. The record is from RNAcentral.
UAUUACUCACAUAUAAUGAAGAAAUCAUAUAUUUGAUAAAAUUGUGGGUUACAAUAUUGGAUAUUACAAGAGGAACAUCAUCAGAAUGUGAUGCAUAAUCUAAAUAUUUUCUACACAUCGAAAGUUCAACCGAAAGCAUCCAUCAACAUCCCUACAACUUAUCUAAAACUUAACCGAGGAACAUCACCCAUCACCCAAAAUGAACAUCCCUACAACUUAACGAACAAUAAAAGCAUCCAUCAUCAUCAUCAUCAUCAUCAUCAUCAUGGACAGGAGCAUCACCAUCUUCACACACCCAUAUAAUCAUCCAUUUAUUUCUUGCAUCUACAAACAAAAAAAUCAAAAUGAACUGUUAUCACACAGUGCAUUGACAUGAUGCAAGUAGUUGUAGAGACAGAAUAUUAGUCAUUGUAUAUGCUGAUAUAUCUCUCUAUGCAAACUCGAUCCAGAAAUUCAUCUACACAAGCUGACUACUAUUUACUUUCUCUAGGAAAUCACAUUAGUAAUUUGUUGAAUUCUAUAUCCAUUGCACACUGCAUAAAAAUAACAAAUAUUACUUAACCAUGAAUGAAUUGCAAAAGCUUAGCAUAUGAAUAUCGGAUUUGUGAUUUAAUCCCUAUCAUCGUACAAUAGAAUUGACAAUUAUAUCGUUCUUCGACAAUGCAAAGACCAACCGCAGAAUUUUCUUCAAACAUUGAAAAAAGGCUAGUAAGGUCAUUCUACUAUUCAUACUACUCAUGAACCCAUGCACAGUCUAGCAUUUUGUGUUACACAUUGUUAGCUGGGAAUAACUACUAUGGUGAUCUAAAAUAGUUAGCUUCAAUAUGACAUCAAUAAUUAGCUUCAACGGAAGCCUUGUACAAUGCACACUUAUUCUCAUGACGGUGGCCUUGGUCUGGUAUGGUUAGGAGAAGACACCAAAAAGGAUUGGUGGGAAAUUUCUUAGAUUUACAGACCAUACGCAAGAAGAUUCGUAUGUCUUUAGAAUUUGCAAUAUAUUAGGCCUAAGAUUUAAAGCAUCGAUAUGAUCAUAGAAAAUAAAAGUAUGCUUGAUGGCACAUAUAUUUUCACAUCCAUCGACAAAAGCUAUGAAGAAACUUACCUUAUCAGUUCAAAUAUGAGGCAAAAUUGGUAAUUCUCAAGUUCAUCCUCUCCUCUACUUGCAUGCCACAUACCUAACUGGUACACGUGGUAAUUAGCUCAAGUAAACAUUUGUUUUCUUUUAAACUGAAAACAAACAUAAUUUGUGUGCUGCAAAUACAAUAGAAUAUGUUUUUUGUGAUGCAUAGUGACAUAAAUAUUAUAAAUGGCAAAAAUAAUGAUGAGUAAAUAUUUUGUGGGCAACGAACAAAAGUGAGAGUUGAAUCUCUGGACCCAAAAAAGGAUGUUUGCAAAUCGAUAGUGUGUAUACUGUUCUAGCUUUCUAGGAACAUCUUAUUGGGCAAAACCAGCAAAUUUAUAUUGAAAUUGCUAAAAGAGUAACUAAUUUAUCAUGGAAUGGCUACAGGAAUACCUUAAUUUUAGAGGGACAAUUUGUAGGCGCUUGUUUCCUUGGAGUGUAUUUCAUGAGUACAUAGUACUGAAAAAUAGUAGUACAUCACAGGUUAAUCCUUUUAUCUAGUUUGUUCUUUCCCUUCCCGUAUGGAAUUUGCAAAACAAAACUGUUUGGUCUUUCCAUCAUUCAUAC